UCGAAUAUUUGCCUACCUUUGUUUCCCCUUUUAGCUGUUGGUUCUCCAACAAUUUCAACUUCUAUGGAUAUCAUUGAUUCAAAGGAAAGUCAGAGAUUGAAAUCGAAAGAAGCAAGAUCUAGGAGGAAAGCACUUUUGUCGAGAAUAAAAUCUUCUAAGGCUAAAUCAUUACCUUUCAUUUCAAGCUCUCUUCGACAUGAAGAUAUCCCACUGACUGGCCAGAGCUCAAGUUCAUAAAAUAGGAAAAAAAUAUAUUAAACUUCAAUCUGUCUUCAUCCUCCAGUCAUAAUGUUGGAUCUCAAUUGAGUAGAAUGUCUCUAUUUGAUAUUACUAGCAAUCAUUUUACACCAAAUUCUAAGAAGAUAGCGAGUGAAUGCCAAUACAUGGAAAAAGGCGGUCACAGAUUUUUGCACACAAUAAUUUGGUCAUACCAUUAUCUAUUGGAUUUGAUUCCUCGAUGACAGGAAGAAAUGAAAUAGUUGGUAAAAAAGGGACUUUUCAUGAAAGCGGUGAAAGUACUCUAGAUUAUGGUUCCAAUAGGUUGAAUAUGCCCCUACCUUCGUUGCCGUGUUCUCUGUUGCUUUGCAAACAAUUUCAAGUUCAAUGUCUGGCAUUGAUACAAGAGUAAUUCAGAGAUUGAAAUCGAAAGAAGCAAGAGCUAAGAGGAAAGCCAUAUUGACCAGAAUUAAAUGUGAUGAUGCUAAAUCAGUCCCGGUCAUUUCAAGCUCUAUUUAACCUGAAGCUAUCGUACUACUGACUGAUCAAAGCACAAGUUCAGAAAAUAGGCAUCAUGUAAAUGGUAUUUUAUAUUUGUUUUCUCAUUGGUUUUUUGUAGAGUUAACUUGCAAUAGUCUAAUUCGUUCAAUUUUUUAUAUUAUUACGCAAGAAAAUUUUUUUCAAACUUCCACCAAUUUUCUUCAUUCAGUCAUUAUGUUGGAUCCCAAUGGAGUAUUAUGCCUCUAUUUGAUAUUACUAACAAUAAUCCAAUUCAAAGAAGAUGGAGAGUGAGAAAUCAACAUUGCCAAAAUAUGAAAAAAUGAAGUCCAGAAUUUCUGAAGACAAUGACUCCAUUAUACCCUUAUCUCUUGGUUUUGAUUCCUCGAUGGCAGGGGAUGGUUCUAAAAAGAUGGAGAGUGUCAAAAAAACAUUGCCCAUAGAUGGAUAAAGGAAGUCAUGAAUUUCUGGACACAAUAAUUCUGUCACACCCUUAUCUCUAGGAUUUGAUUCUUGAAUGCGGGGUCUUAUUCUUAUAUCCAUCAUGUAUUAUAAAACGAAUACCACAUCCCAUUUAGUAAAUUCAAUUGUUAUUUCAUGUUAUUUGUAGGAUUAAAUUUAAAUUGUUGUUAUGGUUUUACUGAAAUGUAAAUUGUUUUUACCGAUUCUUUUGAAUGAACUCCAAUGAAUUAAGGUUCUUUUUAUUUAUAUUGAUCUGUUGUAGGAGGUGGCAUUAUAAGUGCAAUUUCCACACUUGAAAGUUUGAAGGAAUCGAGAGCGACGAGAAAAUCUAUUUUGUCAAUGAAGAGGUCUUCGAAAAGAGUUGCAAAUUGCAUUACAGGUUUGUUACUUUAUGCUUCGGAUCUGGGCAAAGUUAAGGGCACAUGAUCAACUGCCUUUUCAUUAUGUUGUUUAAAAGGCAAGGUUGAGCUACCUAUCUCCCAAAACCACCUCCCCUUCUUCUUGAUUUAUUGGAUGACAAGAACUAAGGUCCAAGAACCUCAAGGAGAAUAUAAGAGCAUACAACAACAUGUUUGCAUUUACUUUCAUGGGUGGUAAGGUAUUAACAUCGUUAAAUGAUGGCGGUGGUCCCCCCCAGUUCCUUCUGAGUGGGAAAAAUUACCAUCGGAUAGGUUCUUUGAUUCGCUGUGUACACGAACCUCCUAAAUUUGCCCAACUGUAUAUAUACGACACACAAAAUGAAAAUGCAAACAGAAUGAAGAACCUAAAGUAUGAGUAGUUUUUUUAAUUAUUAAUAAUACAUCAUUGAUGUUUCCUUCCGUACCUUAUUGUCUAAUGUCUUUAUUUUAAUAUGGGUUGUAGUUCUAAUGGAUUUGCUCAAGGUCUUGAUUAUACAUCAGUGGAAGAUCUGAAACAAAUGAUGGAUGAACACAAUGUUCUAGCCAAAAUAUUUAGACGAGUCAAUGACUUUUUGAAUUCAAACAAAUAUGCUGAACUACCUGUCCGCCUUUUUAGAGCUAGGGGAAGGAUCCUAGAACUUACGACAUGUCGUCUGCUGAUGAAGUCACAGCCUUGAUUGUAGGAGACAUCAAUGACAUGCAGUUUGGAAGAGAAGCAGUGGUUAAACUAAGGGAUGAUGUUCAAAAGAAUAUUCAUGAAACUCAUACUGCAUUCAUUCCUCUGCAGUACCCACUUAUGUUUCCUUAUGGCGAUGAUGGAUUUCAUGAAGAUAUCCAUAUUAGUGAAUUAUUCAGAAGAAUGGGUAGCUAUAAAAAAGCACAAAGUUUCAUUGAGGAAUAUUAUCUCACUUCGUCUACAAGAGCGAUUCCAUGAGUUUGGAAAUAUUCUUUAUACUAAAAGAUUGCUUCAGCAGUUUGUUGUUGACAUGUACACUAUGAUUGAAGCUAACAGGUUGGCUUACAUUCGUCACAAUCAAAAUAA
Long non-coding RNA from Lotus japonicus, 2616 nucleotides. RefSeq lists it as uncharacterized. NCBI's taxonomy places the organism in Eukaryota, Viridiplantae, Streptophyta, Magnoliopsida, Fabales, Fabaceae. The record is from RefSeq and is a predicted model, not a curated record. The transcript has 6 exons.